This 253-nucleotide ribosomal RNA is filed under the name uncultured bacterium. RNAcentral's name for it is "partial 16S ribosomal RNA". It matches the Rfam family "Bacterial small subunit ribosomal RNA", at positions 524 to 776 of the family's 1533-position model. The record is from RNAcentral.
UACGAAGGGGGCUAGCGUUGUUCGGAUUUACUGGGCGUAAAGCGCACGUAGGCGGAUUGUUAAGUUGGGGGUGAAAUCCUGGAGCUCAACUCCAGAACUGCCUUCAAUACUGGCAAUCUCGAGUCCGGAAGAGGUAAGUGGAACUCCUAGUGUAGAGGUGGAAUUCGUAGAUAUUCGCAAGAACACCAGUGGCGAAGGCGGCUCACUGGCCCGAUACUGACGCUGAGGCACGAAAGCGUGGGGAGCAAACAGG